UGCGUAGGCGGAAUAUUAAGUCAGUGGUGAAAUCCUGCGGCUCAACCGUAGAACUGCCAUUGAUACUGAUAUUCUUGAAUGUAGUUGAGGUAGGCGGAAUGUGUAAUGUAGCGGUGAAAUGCUUAGAUAUUACACAGAACACCGAUUGCGCAGGCAGCUUACUAAACUAUGAUUGACGCUGAGGCACGAAAGCGUGGGGAGCAAACAGGAUUAGAUACCCUGGUAGUC
Molecule: ribosomal RNA, 228 nt
Filed under: uncultured bacterium
Lineage: Bacteria
Description: partial 16S ribosomal RNA
Rfam family: Bacterial small subunit ribosomal RNA
Source: RNAcentral